AGAGAGAGACAUGCGCGCAUAUCAAUAAGCGGAGGAAAAGAAACUAACAAGGAUUCCCUUAGUAACGGCGAGUGAAGCGGGAAGAGCUCAAAUUUGAAAUCUUAAAGGUUUCCCUUGACGAAUUGUAGUUUAUAGAAGUGUUUUCUGUUAGUGGAGUUCGGUAAAAGUUCUUUGGAAUAGGACAUCCUAGAGGGUGAGAAUCCCGUAUUUGGUCAUUCCUCCUAGCGUUGUGAUACACUUUCAACGAGUCGGAUUGUUUGGGAAUGCAGUCCAAAAUGGGUGGUAAAUUUCAUCUAAAGCUAAAUAUUGGCGAGAGACCGAUAGCGAACAAGUACCGUGAGGGAAAGAUGAAAAGAACUUUGAAAAGAGAGUUAAACAGUACGUGAAAUUGUCAAAAGGGAAGCGUUUGACACCAGUGUUGUUUUCUCGAAAAUCAAUUAAAAAUGGCGGGAUUUUGUGUUGUAUUGACUUUAUCAGCUUUCUGCACUUUUUUCCUAUCUUUUUUAAUGCACUUUUCGUUUAACAAGUCAACAUCAAUUUCUUUUGUUGUAAAAGAGUCAUUGGAAGGUGGCUUUCUUUUCGGAGAAAGUGUUUAUAGCCUUUGACUUCUGCAAUCGGAGAGAUUGAGGUCUGCAGCGUAGAUCCUUCGGGGUUAGAUACAUUUGUGCUAAGUUAUAGCCUUUCAUAGACAACUUGUUGACUAUGUUUAGUCUUGUAGCUUACUCGCUUAUGCUAUUUUACCUACGCUUAGGAUGUUGAUCUGUAGUGCGUGCGC
RNAcentral lists this ribosomal RNA (775 nucleotides) under uncultured Neocallimastigales. RNAcentral describes it as "partial large subunit ribosomal RNA". It matches the Rfam family "Eukaryotic large subunit ribosomal RNA", at positions 23 to 632 of the family's 3401-position model. Lineage: Eukaryota; Fungi; Neocallimastigomycota; Neocallimastigomycetes; Neocallimastigales. The record is from RNAcentral.